CCCACCUCGUCGGCCGGCGCGCGCACUGCGAGGCUCCCCACCACUCGGCCGGGCAGCCGACCUUCUCCUACCACAGUGAAACGACAGGUGCGGCGAGAGUCUCGGUGAGCCGAGCGAGUUCUGAAAAUGCUACGAGAUUCUACGGCGCCGGCGGAUUUCGGGCGAGCGAUGCGCGUGGAUUAUGAGAGCGGCGUUAGAGAUCGACGAAUGAAUCGUUCACGCCGAAUAGGAAAUAGAUAUAUAAAGUGUAGAUCUUGAACGAGUCGUCAGCGAUGCUCGAGCGUUGAUCAGCUUCCGUGUAAAAUCAGCCGAUAGUCGCGCGCAGCAUCGGCGUCAUGGAAAUUUUGAAAUAUCUCAAGCGACCAAUCAUGACGCCCCGUGACGAAGGGAACGACUGGAAAGGACACACGGUGCUUCUCCGCGUAAUUGCAAACGGCAUUAUCGAGAAAUUGGAUCGUGUGUGGUGUUUGUCGAGCUACAAGAGCAUCCUGAUGCGCCCGAUGUACGUGAAUGCAACGCACGGCACUGACGCGAGCCCUGCUUAAGGCACUGACACCGCACACUUCCGCGAUGCAACGGCACAUUUUUCUCGGCCGCCGAGAUGUAAGUCCUAGAGCUGAGUUGGCGAAAGGAAGGCGACGAAUGUCGAUCCUGUCCAAACAUCCCCGUUGACUUCCGCCCAUAACGAACAUGACUCGAGCGACCUCGUACGUGGUGCAAAACAAGUCAACUUAGUGGAAAGAGAAAAAAUUCUGCGGGACACUCACGUUCUCAGGGUUGAAGUGCGCCCCGGCGGAUGUGCAGCCGUUGAUCAGAUCUCCCUUCUCGUGCACGUGGAAGCCGUGAAGUCCCUCUGCGAG
Molecule: long non-coding RNA, 860 nt
Organism: Odontomachus brunneus
Lineage: Eukaryota; Metazoa; Arthropoda; Insecta; Hymenoptera; Formicidae
Exons: 6
Source: RefSeq, a predicted model, not a curated record